GCGGGGAGCCGAUGGCAGAUGAGAGCGGUGGCGGUGCAGCCGCGCGGAGGCAGCGGGCGGGUGCUCUGCGAGCCCGGCGAGCCGGGCAGCGCUCCGGACCCUGCGGAUCGGCGGAUCGCAGGGACAGCUGGCGUCAGGCACCGAGGAUGCAGACAAGUGCUCCUGACUAGGGGAGGGCUGGCAGGAGGAUUUCCCUUCGGGUUCACAGCAUCCCCGUGUCUGCUGUCUGCUGUUGGAAAGGCUUUGUGCUGGAGCAUGGGGAGCAGAGCUCACAGGUGACCUCCAACUGGAUCAGCCUCGCUUGCUUUAAAUGCCUGUCCCUCUCCUUAGGCUCAGGUGUUUGGUGACAGGCUGGAAAGUCAUGGUAGGUUGGUGCUGCUGGCAGCUGAGUGUGCCUUCUGCUCUGGAAAACAGGGAGGGAGGAAGGCUGGUGGACUCUGAAUAGCUUUGGGAAGAGCAAGCGGGGAUCCUCUCCACGCUGUAAGAAUAGACCCUUUGGAAAUUCAUCUGAGCAGCUGAUUUCUUGGGGUUUCUCAUCGCCUCUGAGAUCAAACCCCAUCCCCUUCUUCAUCCGAGGGCCACCACAGCCACGCUGGGUCACCUACUCAGAGGGCAGCUCCUGCACCUGCCCAGUGCCACUCGCCGUGGGGGCUCGCAGACUUGUGCCAGUGCUACCGAGGGACCUUUUCCAGCGAACGCUUUUAAUUUUUCCUCUUCCUCCUUCACUCAGCUCUGCAGCAUCACAUGAAAUACAUGUGCAGUCGCCGGCUGUCCUGAGCUGUGACCAUCGCUUGGCUCAGGGAGACAGGACUUAGCACCCUCCAGAUCUGAGGGCUGGCUGGAGCACGCUGUGGACUGUCCAAGUAACUUGUGGUGGCUGAACUCCUCCUGGCCUGCGCCGGGUCCCUCUGGCCCCGCUCUUUCCCAGUGCCGAGGGCUGGUGGAGCGCACGGGGCAGCGGGCACAGCUGGAGUGUAGCAUGCACGAGUGUGCAGAGGGACGCAGGGACACCGGCGGGAGCCAUGGCCUCGUUUGGGAAGCUGACGGAGUAUUUCAGCCUGAGGAAGUCGAGGCCGGAGCUGCGCUCCAGGCGCUGGGGCCGGCGGAGCGGGAGCUGUUGCUGUAGUGUCGCCGAGUGCAGGUACGGGGUGGCAGCGACCCGACUGUCCCGGUGCCUCCGUGUGUGCUUGGGGCAUGGCAUGUGCAAUCCUCGGUGCUUUGCUGUGUUUACCUCCCUGGGGGCUGGGAGGGGGUUGGAAGCAAGCCAAGGGCUCUGAGA
Molecule: long non-coding RNA, 1279 nt
Filed under: Lonchura striata (white-rumped munia)
Lineage: Eukaryota; Metazoa; Chordata; Aves; Passeriformes; Estrildidae
Description: domestica (Bengalese finch) lncRNA (ENSLSDG00000001226.1)
Source: RNAcentral